CACUAUGCUCAGCCAUAAACUUUGAUAGACCAUUACAACCCCUAUCCGCCCGGGUACUACGAGCACUAGCUUAAAACCCAAAGGACUUGGCGGUGCUUUAGAUCCACCUAGAGGAGCCUGUUCUAGAACCGAUAAUCCCCGUUUAACCUCACCCUCUCUUGUUCCUUCCCGCCUAUAUACCGCCGUCGUCAGCUUACCCUGUGAAGGAUUAAUAGUAAGCAAAAUCGGCAUAGCCCAAAACGACAGGUCGAGGUGUAGCAAAUGAGAGGGGAAGAAAUGGGCUACAUUUCCUGAACCCAGGACAUACGAACAAUGGACUGAAACGAACAUUUGAAGGAGGAUUUAGCAGUAAGCAGAAACUAGAGUGUUCCGCUGAAACCGGCCCUGAAGCGCGCACACACCGCCCGUCACUCUCCCCGAAAAAUAUCAAGACCACUUACCUAAAAAUCUAUAUCAAUAAAGGGGAGGCAAGUCGUAA
RNAcentral lists this ribosomal RNA (478 nucleotides) under Stegastes lacrymatus (whitespotted devil). Its description in RNAcentral is "Plectroglyphidodon lacrymatus (whitespotted devil) partial small subunit ribosomal RNA". It matches the Rfam family "Bacterial small subunit ribosomal RNA", at positions 788 to 1491 of the family's 1533-position model. Lineage: Eukaryota; Metazoa; Chordata; Actinopteri; Pomacentridae. The record is from RNAcentral.